Molecule: ribosomal RNA, 458 nt
Filed under: uncultured bacterium
Lineage: Bacteria
Description: SSU rRNA
Rfam family: Bacterial small subunit ribosomal RNA
Source: RNAcentral
AGAACGAACGCUGGCGGCGUGGAUAAGACAUGCAAGUCGAACGCGACUUAUCUGAUUAGCAAUAAUGAGGUAAGUUGAGUGGCGAAAGGGUGCGUAACACGUGGGAAUUUACCAAAAAGUGGGGAAUAGCUCGGCGAAAGCCGAAUUAAUACCGCAUGUGGUCGAAAGACCAAAGCCGGGGACCGCAAGGCCUGGCGCUUUUUGAGAAGCCCGCGGCCCAUCAGCUAGUUGGCGAGGUAAAAGCUCACCAAGGCUAUGACGGGUAGCUGGUCUGAGAGGACGACCAGCCACACUGGAACUGAGACACGGUCCAGACACCUACGGGUGGCAGCAGUCGAGAAUUUUUCACAAUGGACGAAAGUCUGAUGGAGCGACGCCGCGUGGAGGAUGAAGGUUUUCGGAUUGUAAACUCCUGUCACUGCAGAACAAGGCUAUGCGAUUGAACAUUUCGUGUAGUU